This 206-nucleotide long non-coding RNA is filed under the name Erythranthe guttata (spotted monkey flower). Its description in RNAcentral is "long non-coding RNA (EGUT_LNC000985)". The record is from RNAcentral. Lineage: Eukaryota; Viridiplantae; Streptophyta; Magnoliopsida; Lamiales; Phrymaceae.
GUAUUGGUUAUAUUAUCAAAUUUGUACCAAAAUUAACCAUUAGUACAAAUAAUUAUGCUCCGCAUGUAAUAAAAGGAAUAUAUUUUAAAAUGUCGCUUCUUUAUUAAUGCAUUGAAUCACAAUGUAUUUUUUUUUUUUUUUUUGAGUAAGUUCAAGUCCAAUACAAGGGGAAGUAGGGGAGGGGGGGACUCGAACCCUAGACCGUU